RNAcentral lists this ribosomal RNA (394 nucleotides) under uncultured bacterium. RNAcentral describes it as "bacterial SSU rRNA". It matches the Rfam family "Bacterial small subunit ribosomal RNA", at positions 30 to 424 of the family's 1533-position model. The record is from RNAcentral.
AUUGAACGCUGGCGGCAUGCCUUACACAUGCAAGUCGAACGGCAGCACGGGAGCAAUCCUGGUGGCGAGUGGCGAACGGGUGAGUAAUAUAUCGGAACGUGCCCAGUCGUGGGGGAUAACGUAGCGAAAGCUACGCUAAUACCGCAUACGAUCUACGGAUGAAAGCGGGGGAUCGCAAGACCUCGCGCGAUUGGAGCGGCCGAUAUCAGAUUAGGUAGUUGGUGAGGUAAAGGCUCACCAAGCCGACGAUCUGUAGCUGGUCUGAGAGGACGACCAGCCACACUGGGACUGAGACACGGCCCAGACUCCUACGGGAGGCAGCAGUGGGGAAUUUUGGACAAUGGUGAAAGACCUGAUCCAGCCAUGCCGCGUGUGUGAAGAAAGGUCUUCGGUA